Molecule: ribosomal RNA, 253 nt
Filed under: uncultured bacterium
Lineage: Bacteria
Description: partial 16S ribosomal RNA
Rfam family: Bacterial small subunit ribosomal RNA
Source: RNAcentral
UACAGAGGGGGCAAGCGUUAUUCGGAAUUAUUGGGCGUAAAGGGCGCGUAGGCGGCUUUGCAAGUGACGGGUGAAAUCCCUCGGCUUAACCGAGGAACUGCCUGUCAGACUGCAUGGCUUGAGACCGGGAGAGGUGAGUGGAAUUCCCAGUGUAGCGGUGAAAUGCGUAGAUAUCGUAAGGAAGACCAGUGGCGAAGGCGGGUCUCUGGACAGUUCCUGACGCUGAGGCACGAAGGCCAGGGGAGCAAACGGG